AACGCGAAGAAUCCUUACCCACGGCUUGACUCCUGCCAAGUUUUCCGAAAGGAGAAUGUGCCUUCGGGCCGCAGUGAUCAGGUGAUGCAUGGCCGUCUUUCAGCUCGUGUCGUGAGAUGUUAGGUUAAGUCCUUCAACGACGCGCAACCCUUAUGCUUAGUUGUAUUUCUCUAAGCAGACUGCCCUGGUAACAGGGAGGAAGGGGGGGAUGAUGUCAGGUCAGUAUUUCCCUUACGUCUGGGGCUACAAACACGACUACAAUGGCCGGUACAAAGGGCUGCCAACCCGCGAGGGGGAGCAAAUCCCAUCAAAGCCGGUCUCAGUUCGGAUAGCAGGCUGAAACUCGCCUGCUUGAAGCUGGAAUCGCUAGUAAUGGUAGGUCAGCACACUACCGUGAAUACGUUCCCGGGUCUUGUACACACCG
Molecule: ribosomal RNA, 424 nt
Filed under: uncultured bacterium
Lineage: Bacteria
Description: bacterial SSU rRNA
Rfam family: Bacterial small subunit ribosomal RNA
Source: RNAcentral